UACAGAGGAGCCAAGCGUUGUCCGGAUUGACUGGGCGUAAAGCGCACGCAGGCGGUCGCGCGCGUGGGGUGUGAAAUCUGGCCGCUUAACGGCCAGGCGCCAUCCCAUACGGCGCGACUGGAGUGAUGCAGAGGUCGGUGGAAUUGCCGGUGUAGUGGUGAAAUGCGUAGAGAUGUGGAGGAACACCGAUGGCGAAGGCAGCCUCCUGGGCCAAUACUGACGCUCAUGCACGAAAGCGUGGGGAGCAAACAGG
This 253-nucleotide ribosomal RNA is filed under the name uncultured bacterium. Its description in RNAcentral is "partial 16S ribosomal RNA". It matches the Rfam family "Bacterial small subunit ribosomal RNA", at positions 524 to 776 of the family's 1533-position model. The record is from RNAcentral.